AACACAAGGAGAGAGACACAGAAACUGUGGCCGGAAACUGGAAAAACACUGGAGCAAAAACAGAUUCCUGAUUGGGAGAUUAUUCACUGUGAAUGGACCAAAGGUGUGAAUGAAAAAGUAAAUGUGAGUUAUUAUGUUUUUUGUUUGAAAGAUGUGAUGGGGACUGAAAAUAUGUGUCUGUACAUGAUAGGGUGUACACAAUAAGAGAUAACGUUUUAAUUCAUGGUAGAACUGAAAAAAUGACCAAAUGCAGAGCAGUCAGAUGAGAAUAGUCACUGGAUGAGCGGUAGAAGAUGAUUAAUGACCGCGAAGAAGUAGUAAACUAUUUGACAGUUUAUCUGAGAGGCACUAUGUAAAAACUUACGCCGGUACAGUAGAGGGCGCUAAAGGCACGAAGUGGCGCGAGAAGCGGAUGUGAUUGACAGGUGCUGUAGAAGCGGUCGUCGCGGGCUAAUUGAAGUGGCGUGAGUUCCCCGGGAGACGCCGGAAAAAUGUUGCAGCCCGGUGUGAAGACUGAAAGGCGGCUGGAGCUGUUCAUUACCGAGGUGAAAAGUUCGACUAAGCAGGAGGCAGCAGUGGACCGGCAGCUCCUGUGUCACUAGGCUUAAUUUAGUCAUUUUUGUCGGACUCUACCUGAGGUGAAGUCUGGAGCUCUCUUCUCACAGUUUGUACCAUAGGUUCCAGUCUGACAAGCACACUUGC
This is a long non-coding RNA of Cynoglossus semilaevis (tongue sole), 702 nucleotides long. RefSeq lists it as uncharacterized. The transcript has 3 exons. Lineage: Eukaryota; Metazoa; Chordata; Actinopteri; Pleuronectiformes; Cynoglossidae. The record is from RefSeq and is a predicted model, not a curated record.